GGGGGAUCGGAUCUUGGAGCCUCCCGGCCACAUGUUCCUGAAAUAAACACUGACUGGAAGCUUAUCUUGUUCCUGUGCAUGUGUGUGUGGACUCCCAACAGGAAGUAGUGCACAAACUCCUGCAGCGUUCCUCCAUUUUUCUUUGGAUGCCGCACGAUGGUGUCCCGGCAUGCACUGCGUCUGCACACCCGCCUCCGUCUCUCUCUCUCUCUCUCUCUCUCUCUCUCUCUCUCUCUCUCUCUCUCUCUUCCUCUGGGAUGGUGCACCAGGCAGGCCCCACCUCCUAUUUCACCAUCAGCGUCUGUCUCCUCCCCCUCUUUCUCUUUCUCUCUGGCACUUCUUCUGCAGCCUCUCUUUCUGCUCCAGCCUCAUGCAAGGGGGAGACUUAGGGGGAGAAGAGAAGCGUGGAGGGGGAGGAAGGGGCCGGAGGGGUGGGGGGGAGUCUGCUGCUAUUUCUACAGUCAGUCCGGGCCUCCCCGCCACCGCCACCGCCGUCGCGGCCGUCACCCACCCUCCCCUUCCACAGACGGAUCUUUUCUUCCCUUUUUUUUUCACUCACCACAGGCUUUGGAUUUUAACCCUCUGCCUCCAACUUGCUGCAAGAAAAAGCUUGCAACAAGUUGCCUUUUCACACUUUUUUUGUGCACCCAUUUUUGAAAUUUCUCCACGCUUUGGACUAUGCUGUUUUUAAAGAUGUAAUUUAUUCUUUUUUUUUUUUUGCAUGACUAAAAAAAAAAAACUAUUUUUUGGAUUGAAAGAAGAGGAGGGUUCUGGUAAAAGCCGCUGACCUGGUCGGACCUGGUUCUGUUACUUGCAUGCUGCUUCCCGACUGGCACAGCGGGUCGAGCCAAGCCGAGCCGAGCCGAGCCGUUCCAGGUUGGCACUGCGAACAAAAGCAAUGAAGGGUAGCAAAUGUUAGUAAUUGCAGUUUUUAAUGUGAUUAUUUUGCAGCAGAUGGCUUUCGUGUGUGUCGUGGAGCUUGUGUGUGUGUGUGUGUGUGUGUGUGCGUCUGUGUCUGUAGCAGGCCUUGAAUACUUUUUUCAACUCAAGAAGUGAAGACAUCUCGCCAAGAGAUGACGAAGCAAGGGUUGCAAGCCAGCGGCAUGCAGAUAGCUUCAAUAUUCAUAAGUCAAGAGCACCAUACCUGGACCCAGACCUGGGUCCUAUGUUGCUUUGCAUCCGUUUUUAGUCUUAUUUGCUCAUAUUCAUGCGCUACUGGACUAGCAGCCUCAUGGCCUCCUAUUGUUUCAGGCCCGACUUGAACUCGGGGGCUCAGACCGCGGCCAGAGGAGGGAGCGAGGGCCAAAGCUGAGAUUGCGGGCCGGAACCGGGAAGAGAAGGGAGAAGUGGGUGGGGGGGGGGGACACACACAGGAGAGAGAAACCAGGCCUUCAGCGAACCUCGCAUCCUCCGAGACGGGAAGUUGUGACAUCGUCAAACACUGCCACCAGGCUGUGAAACCGUGGGCACCGCCCCUUGACAGGACGUCUACGUGGAUCUUUGGUCCGGCAUUGGAGUCUUAGACUGUCCUUUGGGGUGAGGUAGUAAGUUGUAUAGUUUUAGGGUCACACCCUUCCUGUCAGAUAACUAUACAACUUACUGUCUUUCCUGAAGCGGCUGGAAUGUCUUCUUACCCUGCAGCACCCCACCGUGGUAGAUGAGCGCAACUACACCUUGAUCAACGUUUGCACUCUGUGACCUUUCAGAGUCGCACUGCUUUGUUACCGCAGACAAACAUGUUGCCUCUGCUGUUUUUGUUUUCUAAGUGAUUGUGUUGGGCCUGGUUUGUGGUCAUGUGACAUUAGCCGAGAAGAAGACUUCCUGGUGUUCGUACGGGGUGAGGUAGUAGGUUGUGUGGUUUCAGGGUAGUGAUUUUGCCCAAUCAGGAGAUAACUAUACAACCUACUGCCUUCCCUGAAGGGCAGCAAUACGUCACCAGGCGCAAAGCCAAGCCAAGACCCCCCAGCACCCUACCCCCCCCCCACCCCCCACCCCCCAGCAGCAGCAGCACCUGCAGGUAAAGCCACACACAAUACUUAUGUCAUUG
This is a non-coding RNA of Doryrhamphus excisus (bluestripe pipefish), 2047 nucleotides long. The record is from RefSeq and is a predicted model, not a curated record. NCBI's taxonomy places the organism in Eukaryota, Metazoa, Chordata, Actinopteri, Syngnathiformes, Syngnathidae.